RNAcentral lists this ribosomal RNA (253 nucleotides) under uncultured bacterium. RNAcentral describes it as "partial 16S ribosomal RNA". It matches the Rfam family "Bacterial small subunit ribosomal RNA", at positions 524 to 776 of the family's 1533-position model. The record is from RNAcentral.
UACGUAGGGGGCAAGCGUUGUUCGGAAUUACUGGGCGUAAAGGGCUCGUAGGCGGCCAACUAAGUCGGAUGUGAAAUCCCCAGGCUCAACCUGGGAACUGCAUCCGAUACUGGAUGGCUUGAAUUCGGGAGAGGGAUGCAGAAUUCCAGGUGUAGCGGUGAAAUGCGUAGAUAUCUGGAGGAAUACCGGUGGCGAAGGCGGCAUCCUGGACCGACAUUGACGCUGAUGAGCGAAAGCUAGGGGAGCAAACGGG